Molecule: ribosomal RNA, 497 nt
Filed under: uncultured bacterium
Lineage: Bacteria
Description: partial 16S ribosomal RNA
Rfam family: Bacterial small subunit ribosomal RNA
Source: RNAcentral
GAUGAACGCUGGCGGCGUGCCUAAUACAUGCAAGUCGAGCGAACGGACGAGAAGCUUGCUUCUCUGAUGUUAGCGGCGGACGGGUGAGUAACACGUGGAUAACCUACCUAUAAGACUGGGAUAACUUCGGGAAACCGCAGCUAAUACCGGAUGAUAUUUUGAACCGCAUGGUUCAAAAGUGAAAGACGGUCUUGCUGUCACUUAUAGAUGGAUCCGCGCUGCAUUAGCUAGUUGGUAAGGUAACGGCUUACCAAGGCAACGAUGCAUAGCCGACCUGAGAGGGUGAUCGGCCACACUGGAACUGAGACACGGUCCAGACUCCUACGGGAGGCAGCAGUAGGGAAUCUUCCGCAAUGGGCGAAAGCCUGACGGAGCAACGCCGCGUGAGUGAUGAAGGUCUUCGGAUCGUAAAACUCUGUUAUUAGGGAAGAACAUAUGUGUAAGUAACUGUGCACAUCUUGACGGUACCUAAUCAGAAAGCCACGGCUAACUACGUG